GAUCUUCUUCAUUUUCGUCAUCUGCAUGGGCUACAGAGACGGUGCCAAAGAUGCUGUUUGCUCUUUUCUUGGCGGCCUGAGUCUUGCGUAAAGUGGCUUCCCAUGCCUUUAUAACUCCGCUUUGUUCUUUGCUCAUCUUUUUUUCUUUUCUUCCGUGAUAUGGAGUCGAUUUUUUUCACCUUCACAUGCUAUUGUAGGAUAAAAGUGAUUGAUAAAUGCAUGAGCUCUUGGAUUUGGGAUUCGUUUGGAGAGAAAUCAUGAACAGCUUAGAUGAGGAAAAUGUGUUUGUUACCAGAA
Molecule: unclassified non-coding RNA, 297 nt
Filed under: Hevea brasiliensis (rubber tree)
Lineage: Eukaryota; Viridiplantae; Streptophyta; Magnoliopsida; Malpighiales; Euphorbiaceae
Source: RNAcentral